This 73-nucleotide transfer RNA is filed under the name Stegodyphus mimosarum. It matches the Rfam family "tRNA". Rfam says of the family: Transfer RNA (tRNA) molecules are approximately 80 nucleotides in length. Their secondary structure includes four short double-helical elements and three loops (D, anti-codon, and T loops). The record is from Rfam by way of RNAcentral. Lineage: Eukaryota; Metazoa; Arthropoda; Arachnida; Araneae; Eresidae.
GCCUUCGUGGUGUAGUGGUCAGCAUGCUCGACGUGUAUUCGAGGAGUCCGUGGUUCGAGUCCCGGCGAGGCCA